RNAcentral lists this ribosomal RNA (453 nucleotides) under uncultured bacterium. RNAcentral's name for it is "partial 16S ribosomal RNA". It matches the Rfam family "Bacterial small subunit ribosomal RNA", at positions 28 to 507 of the family's 1533-position model. The record is from RNAcentral.
GAUGAACGCUGACAGAAUGCUUAACACAUGCAAGUCAACUUGAACUUCGGUUUGGGUGGCGGACGGGUGAGUAACGCGUAAAGAACUUGCCUCACAGCUAGGGACAACAUUUGGAAACGAAUGCUAAUACCUGAUAUUAUGAUUUUAGGGCAUCCUAGAAUUAUGAAAGCUAUAUGCGCUGUGAGAGAGCUUUGCGUCCCAUUAGCUAGUUGGAGAGGUAACGGCUCACCAAGGCGAUGAUGGGUAGCCGGCCUGAGAGGGUGAACGGCCACAAGGGGACUGAGACACGGCCCUUACUCCUACGGGAGGCAGCAGUGGGGAAUAUUGGACAAUGGACCAAGAGUCUGAUCCAGCAAUUCUGUGUGCACGAUGAAGUUUUUCGGAAGGUAAAGUGCUUUUAGUUGGGAAGAAAAAAUGACGGUACCAACAGAAGAAGUGACGGCUAAAUACGUG